Acanthosepion pharaonis is the source of this 114-nucleotide non-coding RNA. The record is from the annotation of a GenBank genome assembly. NCBI's taxonomy places the organism in Eukaryota, Metazoa, Mollusca, Cephalopoda, Sepiida, Sepiidae.
AUACGAUCAUAUUACGCCGAAACACCGAUUCCCGCACAAUCACCGAAGUUAAGCAACGUGGAAAGUGGGCAGUACUUAGAUGGGUGACCACUUGGUAAUACCAGGAACUGUAAG